UCAGGCCUAACACAUGCAAGUCGAACGGUAACAGGUUAAGCUGACGAGUGGCGAACGGGUGAGUAAUGUAUCGGAACGUGCCCAGUCGUGGGGGAUAACUGCUCGAAAGAGCAGCUAAUACCGCAUACGACCUGAGGGUGAAAGCGGGGGAUCGCAAGACCUCGCGCGAUUGGAGCGGCCGAUAUCAGAUUAGGUAGUUGGUGGGGUAAAGGCCUACCAAGCCUACGAUCUGUAGCUGGUCUGAGAGGACGACCAGCCACACUGGGACUGAGACACGGCCCAGACUCCUACGGGAGGCAGCAGUGGGGAAUUUUGGACAAUGGACGCAAGUCUGAUCCAAAAGUGCCGCGUGCGGGAAGAAGGCCUUCGGGUGUACUUUAAAGGGGUCAGGGAAGAAAAGGUUCUGGCUAAUACCU
This 416-nucleotide ribosomal RNA is filed under the name uncultured bacterium. Its description in RNAcentral is "bacterial SSU rRNA". It matches the Rfam family "Bacterial small subunit ribosomal RNA", at positions 42 to 468 of the family's 1533-position model. The record is from RNAcentral.